This 204-nucleotide ribosomal RNA is filed under the name Pseudomonas aeruginosa. RNAcentral describes it as "partial 16S ribosomal RNA". It matches the Rfam family "Bacterial small subunit ribosomal RNA", at positions 551 to 754 of the family's 1533-position model. The record is from RNAcentral. Lineage: Bacteria; Pseudomonadati; Pseudomonadota; Gammaproteobacteria; Pseudomonadales; Pseudomonadaceae.
UUACUGGGCGUAAAGCGCGCGUAGGUGGUUCAGCAAGUUGGAUGUGAAAUCCCCGGGCUCAACCUGGGAACUGCAUCCAAAACUACUGAGCUAGAGUACGGUAGAGGGUGGUGGAAUUUCCUGUGUAGCGGUGAAAUGCGUAGAUAUAGGAAGGAACACCAGUGGCGAAGGCGACCACCUGGACUGAUACUGACACUGAGGUGC